UGGGGAAGUUUUACCGCAAUGGGCGAAAGGCCUGACGGAGCAAUGCCGCGUGGAGGUGGAAGGCCUACGGGUCGUCAACUUCUUUUCUCGGAGAAGAAACAAUGACGGUAUCUGAGGAAUAAGCAUCGGCUAACUCUGUGGCAG
RNAcentral lists this ribosomal RNA (144 nucleotides) under uncultured bacterium. RNAcentral describes it as "partial 16S rRNA". It matches the Rfam family "Bacterial small subunit ribosomal RNA", at positions 355 to 511 of the family's 1533-position model. The record is from RNAcentral.